AUGCGUUGCGAUGAUUUUAGGCAAAAAGAAAACAUAGUUGUGUUUGCAAAUCCCCUAAAUUCUAUUGGAAACAAGUAUAUCGGCCUUAAAUUCCACAUGGAAACACAGAGGAAAACUACAGUAUCCCAUUUCCACAUUAUUAAAACUUUAAAACUGGUCGACGAACAGAAAAUUAUGCUAAUCACAGUUAAAAUUUGGCCCCCUCCCCCUCCCGGCCUCAGCCACUCACAAGUCACAUCACACGACUGCUAUAAUUUUCUCAGAACCAUCCUCUGUUGUCAGGUCAAAGUAAACGCAGCGCCAGGAACCGACGAUCUCCUUUCUUUCUUUUAA
This 333-nucleotide ribosomal RNA is filed under the name Triticum aestivum (bread wheat). Its description in RNAcentral is "partial small subunit ribosomal RNA". Lineage: Eukaryota; Viridiplantae; Streptophyta; Magnoliopsida; Poales; Poaceae. The record is from RNAcentral.